Ziziphus jujuba (common jujube) is the source of this 11876-nucleotide long non-coding RNA. RefSeq lists it as uncharacterized. The transcript has 2 exons. NCBI's taxonomy places the organism in Eukaryota, Viridiplantae, Streptophyta, Magnoliopsida, Rosales, Rhamnaceae. The record is from RefSeq and is a predicted model, not a curated record.
AUAUUUGAUAUAUUAAAGAAAGGAAUUUCUUACAAGGCUUGAAUCCACACUAGUACCUUCUUUUCAUAGAUGAAGGAAGAGAAUACAAAGAAACUUUUAUAGUACAUUAGGAUAAAGAGAAAUCUCCUUUUCCAGACAAAUCGAUAAACUAAAUAAAGUACAUUUAAAUAAUAUACACUCAAUUUUACAAAUGGACAAAUUAUGGUGACUCAGAAACUAUUUUAUGAGGGGGAAAGAUUAAGACAUUCUUAUUCAUAAUAAUCUACCUUCCUAUAAAUGGGUUUCCACCACAGUGUGCUGUUCAUAGUCUUUAUUUUCCUGAGGGUUCGGCUGCUUCAAGAGAGCCUCGAUUUCUAGAUCAAUUGGUUCUUCCAAUUUAGGUGUCUUGCUUGACUCGUUGCUUGAGUUUUGAAAAAGAUCUUUAGUGAGAUCCUAGGAGUCUUAAAAAUUAGGGUUUUGAGAGUUCUGGAAGACAAAAUCUUGAAGAUCCAAGAGGUCAAUACCCAUGGGGACCUGUACAACUUCUACCUUUGGCAUAGGGCUGAGAGAUUUAUUUAGGAAUCUUUGGAACUGUAUUUUCAUCAUACAAGUGAUCGAUGGAUGUGGUGAUGAUCUCUUCCUGUGGUGGUUCAUAACUGUUUAACCUAUAAAGGUAUGUGACCACUUCAGACUUGACUUGAGGAGAUGAGGUUUCAAAAGUGGUAGUCCAUUCGAAUGCCACAUUAUGAGUCUAAAAAAGUGUAGCAUUAUGGUUGUAGAGGUAGGGUCUGCUGAUCAUAAAUAUGCUAGUAAUCUGUUUUGCCUGCUCACAUGUCAUUUUUUAGAGAUUGUUCUAACCAAUAAUUCUAGACAGUUCAUGUAUCCAUCAUGAAAUGGGGUUAAACCAUUCCAAAAAUGACAAUAUCAAAGAACUGGGGUUAAACCAAGUGUUCAACAAGGGGCAUGGUUUAUAAAGUAAUUAUACACCGAAGAUACCACAAAUCACCUUCAGUAAACUCAGUCUUUGGUUGGAGGUAAUAGGGUAAAAGAAAUGGUAAAAGAGGGUCAAACACAAAGUUAUCUUUUUGAAUUCAUUGGAGUAUUGGCUAAGUUUGGGAAUAGAUGACUUCUGAUAUAUGUUUGUAUAUCCCUAAAGACAACAUGAUUAAGGUCAGAAGGGAAGAGUUUUCGGAUUAGGGCUUUCAAACCUUCUGCCAUUAGAAUCAGAGGGAAGGAUUUUACUUCAGGUAUUAUUUGUAUGGUUUGCUUUUUCUGGGUAACAUGUCUAUGAGAAUAUUGUGUUCCCCUUUUAUAUGCUGAACACCAAACUCAUAUUUUGCAAACAAGUCUUUCAAUCUUAACAAUUAAGGAUUGGGCAAGGAUUUGUUAUUAAAUUCUAAUACUCUUAAAAAUGAUAAGUUGUCCAUUUGUAUAAAAGAUCUGUGUCCUAUUAGAUGGAGUUCAAACUUUUGUAUCCCAUACUUGAUAGCAAGAAUCUCCUUGUAAAUAGUGUGAUGUUGUUAUCCUAAUAGCUUGAAUUAUCCACUAGCGUUGCCACAAUAAUGGAGGAUUCCAUUAACUUUUUCCAUUAAUGUGGCUCCCCAAUAAAGGUCAUUUAAGUCUAUUUACCAUAUUCUCUUUCCCUGUUCUGGGAUUUUGAGAGUACGGGGCUAUACAACUAACUUCUUUAGUUCUUUGACAGUAGUCAUUUGUUACAUUCUCCGAGAAUGUGGCUUUUUCUUUAAGAGUUUGGAAACAUAACUCACAUGGAUAUCAUCUUUGGGAAUAAAGCUUAUGAUGAAAUUUACAAUAAUAAAAAAUUGAUGUAUUUGUUUGAAGUAGAGAAUCUCGUCAAGAAACUUUAGGAUUCUUCUGUUAUGUGGCGUCCAGGCAUGUUCUCCCCUCGAGAAAAAUGCAUAUCCAAGAAGCCUAUUUUUGGUUUAGCUAAUUCGCUUUUUUUUUUUUUUAUUGGAAAGCGUUAUUUCAUUUUUUUGCUAGGAAAGAUUGAUUAGCUUAAUAAUCUUCAGAAAAUAAAAGGAUGUCACCAGUGUGAACAAGGAUUCUUUCCAAAAUGGGCUCAAUGAUUCUGAUUAUGGCUUUUUGGAACAAUGAAGGUGCUACCUUGAAUCCAAAAGGAAGCACUGUACAUUAGUAUUAAGCACUUAGAAUGCAAAAAGCCAUUUUAUAUCUUUCUUCUUGAUCGAUUCCUAUUUGCCAAAAGCUCAUCUUGAGGCCAAAUUUAAAGAAUAUAUGGGCCUUGUUGAGAUGGGCAAACUACGAACUGAUCUUCAGCAAUGGGAAUCUAUCAUCUUUCAAAGAUUGGAUUAGUGGUUUGUAGUCAAUAAAAAUCCUUCUCUUUCCUCUGUUUAUUUCUGAUUUCUUAUUGACAUAGAAAGCUUGGCAAGCUCAGUUUGGCAUUGUGGGCUCAAUCAAUCCUUGUUGGAGUAGCGCUGAGCAUUUUUUCUAGCAAGUGUGAGAUCAAAGGGAGUCAUUCCUGAAUGUGUGGCCUUGGUAGCAUUGAUAUCUUUGCUCAGCUUGAUAAAAAAAUUGUUCAUUCUUCCAUAAUGGAUGAAGAUGAUUGAAGGUUUCAUGAAUGUCUGCACAGAGAAUUAAGAGUUUCUCUUAAAGUUGUUUGUAGUUUGGUGGUGCCUUUUAGGACAGAGAGUAGAGCUUUGAUGUUCUUACGAAAGCCUUAAAUUAUCCUUGAAACUUUAUUCUUUAUGGAAGGAUGGUUAAAUUUCUUGACUCUAUAUACACAUCCAUUCCAAUUAGAAUAUCUUUAUUUGGAAUUUACUUCCUAAAACCUUCAUCCAUAUUAUGCAAUAUGGGAAGAACGUGAUUCCAAUAAGGCUUUUUGCUAUCCAUUCUAUUUUGAACAACUUAUCAUCAACAACUUUGAACUAUUCUUCAUGCUUUGUCCAAAACUCUUUAGGAGGUAUCUCUGGAUUCAUCAUACUUUUCUAUGCUCUUGUAUCAAUAUAGGCGAUGACAUCCUUAGGUUGAGAAUACUUGCUGGUGAGGAUUUGGAUUGGAAUGUUGGCAACUGAAAUGGCUUCUGCCUUUAGAGCUUAUGGUAUUUCAUUGGAAAUUAUAUAGAGGGCUGAGUGAUUGAUGAGGAAAGAAUCUUCAUAUUCAUUGUCUUUACUUCCACUUUCCUCUGUGGGAAGUACGAAAAUUGUUUCUUCGUCUCGACACUUUGUUUAGCGUAGAGUGAUUCAGUAUCUACAAACUUUAUUUCUAAGAGAAGAUCAUCAAUCUGCAAUUGUUGUAAAAGUUUUAUGGCCUUUUACCUUUUGGUAGGACACCGUCAAGCAUAACGCUCAUUCCACCAGCAAAGAUAACAUUGAUUAGUUUUUUAUUGAUGCCUUUGCUAUACUUUUUUCUGAAAUAUCUGAACUUUUCCUUUUACCUUUGGAAUAUUUGUCCUUCUUGUGCCAGUGUUAGUUUUUUGCUUCUUAGUCUUGUAAGCACAGCUGUCUUAUGGGCCUUUAAUCAGUAAAUUUGGUAGUCUAUAAACUGAUUUACAUAAAGGUUAUUUCUUCAUGAUAGUUUGAAAAUAUUGAUUUUGUUCACAUAAUUUAUCAUGAGCAGACAUUGCCAUCUGAUGACUUUAACCUAUCAAAAUUAUUUUCAUGGGCAAUUUAGAUGCAAGGAUAGAUGUCUGGAUUUCAGGCUGCAACUCAUCUAGAAAAGAUUAUAUAUAGACUUGUUUUAAAUUUUGAUCAUUAACCCUAUAAUAAGUAAAUAUCUCGAUGACAUUCUCUCAUAGUCGUUGUUUAGAUCUUUCCUUUUGAGAGAACAACAUUUCAUAGUGAAAAAUUCCUUUUGAGUUUGCAAGAGGAGUAAGGAAUGAUCUCUUAUGAAUUCACAAGAUGGUUCCCAGAGCCUCUGUUGUGGUUCUAACUUGAGCGAACUAUAUCUGUCUGCGUUCACCAAGUUAUUGAAAUCAAUUUCUUAGUCUACCAAAAUUUCUAGAUGCAAAUUCCUUUAAACCUACUACAAGGUUGGCAUUUGUUUUGUACAUUUGGUUAUCUAUCCAUGCUCCGAGCUCGUGCAUUCUAUGCUUCCAUUGGCUUGGCUCCGGGUCAUCAAAUGUAAACCAUAGGCUAGAAGUAGGUUUCAGAGUUUGAUAUGAUGAUCAGUGUGGUGGUAUAAGGCACUAGCAAGCUAUCUGAUGUCUAGUCUCACAUCGUCCAAGUGUAGAUUAGGAUAUGACUCAAAUAUAAAAAUAGUCACUCUCAUAACAUCAAGACCUUUUUAGAAAGGUUGGCUUUAGGGUUCAAAAGAACUUCGAAGUUAAGCAUGCUCAGGCUAGAACAAUCCUACGAUGGGUAGCCUCUUGGAAAGCUCUAAACAAGUAACCCCAUAGCGAGUGUGGUCAAAAAAUGGUAUUAAAGCCUAUAUCCAGUUAUAAGUGUGCCGGUAAGGAUACUAAGUCCCAAGGGGGUGGAUUGUGACAACCAGUAUAGGCUGGUAUGGGACACUGGUAGGCUACCUAAUGUCCAAUCCUAAAGCUCUAAACAAGAAACCCUAUAGUGAGUGCGAUCACAAAUGGUAUCAAAGCUUGUACUCAGCUAGAAGUGUGACAAUGAGGAUGCUUGGCCGCAAAGAGGGUGGAUUGUGAUAACCAGUGUGGGCAGGUGUGGGGCACUAGUAGGUUAUCUGGUAUCUAAUCCUACGUCAUCUAGAUGUAAAUUAGAGGAUUAUUCAAAUGUAAUAAUAGUCACUUUCACAACGCCAUGACUUCAAGGUCCCAAAAAACUCCGAAGUUAAGCGUGCUAAGGUGAAAGCAAUCCUAAGCAAUCCUAAAAUGGGUGAUCUUUUGGGAAGCUCUGGACCAAAAAUCUCAUAAAAAAUGCAGUGGCUAAAUUGAAGACAAUAUUGGUAGAGAGUGACAGGUCCACCAAUAGAGGCGGGGUGUUACAUUUGCUGAAUGUGAUGGCUAAAUUAGGGAUAUUCUCGGCAGAGAGUGAUAGGUCUGCCAGUAGAGGCGGGUUGUUACAUUUUCUGCCUUUCCUAGUUAGUUUCUCCUUCAGUUUUUAGUUCAGAUAUCAUUAGAUCAAGUUGUUGUGUUUGAUUAUGAGGUGGUUCGGACACCAUUGGAUUAGGUUAUUGUGUCUGAUUGUGAGGUGGUGGUUAUUGACUAUUGAGUCUGGUAUGUGGUAGAAGAUUGUUAGCUACCUUUCUGGGCUAGUUUCUCCUUCAAUUUAUGGUUCAGGAACCAUUAGAUUAGGUAUUGGAUCAGGUUGCUGUGUCUAAUUAUGAGAUGGUUCAGACACCAUCAAAUUAGGUUAUUGUGUCUGAUUGUGAGGUGGCGGUUAUUGACUAUUGAGUCUGGUAUGUGGUAGAGGAUUAUUGAGCUUCCUUUCUUGGCUAGUUUUUCCUUCAAUUUCUGGUUCAGACACCAUUCGAUCAGGUUGUUGUGUCUGAUUGUGAGAUGGUGGUUACUAAGUCUGGUAUGUUAUAGAGGAUUGUGCCAUUAGCAGUGUGGAGAUGUCAGCCAUGUCUUCUUCAUUUUUUUUUUUUUAAACAUGACAACUGAUCUUUUAAGGAUUCCUCUUUCAUUGGCUCUUAUUGUGUAAUUGUAAAGGUUGUUGGUAGAUCUGAAGAGCUUGAUGGAGGUGGUUUAAAAUUGCUUUUGCUGCCUUUCUUGGUUAGUUUCUCCUUCAUUUUUUGGUCUAGACAGCACUGGAUCAUAUUAUUGUGUUUGAUUGUGGGGUGGUGGUUAUUAAGUUUGGUAUGUGGUAGAAGAUUGCACCAUCAACAGUGUGAAGAUGUCAGCCAUGUCUUCUUUAGAGUCUUUGUAACACCCCGUCCCAAAUCACACCGGAAUCCGUGCACGUUGAUCGAGGUUGACCGUUGACCGAGUGGGUCAAAAGUUGACUUUUUGUUCCAGUUGGAAUUUCCAGUUGACCAAGGUACCGUGGCGAAGUGCAUGAUGCCUCGAGUUCGUAGACUAGUAGCACGUCGAAAAUAGAGCUACGGUUUGAAAGUUAUGAGCGAAACAAGUUGAGGUCCAAACUGUCCAAGGGGUGCCGGAGUUGACUUUUUAUUUAUGGGGAAAUGAGCUUUGACUCAUGCAUGGUUGUGAAGUGCUCGUCGAUACGAGUUCACAGACUAGCGGCACGCUUAAAACGGACAUCCGGUUAAAAAGUUAUGGACGCGUGAAGUUUGCCGGAUACCGUAAUAUUUUAAUGUUUUUGAGUCGAUGAACAGUGAAAUGCCACGUGUCGUCACCUGAUUGGUCCACGUGGAAUGAACAGUGUCACACAGUGGCUUUUAUUCGACAAAAAUCUAGGGGAAGAGAGAGAAAGAGAGAGAGGAGAGAGAAAGAGACAGAGAGUCCGAUCGGCCACCGGAGAUUUUCAAAUUUUUCGGCCGAUUUACUGUACAUGCGCCGGCCAGCAAGAUUCCUCUCCCCAUUUUCGGCAAAAGCUCAAAAUUUCACGUCCAUUGGCCGCCGGACGCGCCCGGAUCGAGGCGGCCAAGAUCGGCGGCGAUUUUUCCCUCCACUGCCGGCCACCGCCGAUUGACCCAUUUUCGGCCAUUUUCCAGCCACACGUGCCAGCUAGCCAACACCAGCUCCUGAAGUCCGGCUGACCCACCAAAUUUCACGGCCACCGGACCACCGACGCGCCGGGAUCGGAGCUUUUUUCGGCGAGGGGCCAGAAUCCUUCAAACUGUGAUUUCUCCGCUGUUCGGCCUCCGUUUGCCUCACCGUCGGUCCCGUUGGAUUGCUCUCCCCUCGAUCUACAAAUCUGCAAAAAAUCUCAGCCAACAGCCAUCGCACGCGCUGCCGCCGCCGACGGUUGCCCGUGACCGCGGCGGCUCACCGAAAGUUACUGUUCCGGCGAGUACCCAGUCUUCCGGCCGGCUCCUGUCCACUGUGUUCGAUCUCCUGAACCCGAAUCUGGCAUCCGUUUCCACCAAUUCGCGACAGUUUGGGGGAAUUAGGAAGUCGAAACCCGAAAGCUUUCCGGCGAGAUUCCGACCCCGUCGGGUCCGAUCACCGGAAAGUAAGACCGAAUCAGUGAUACUCAUCACUCGAGCUUCGAUUCGGUAUAUAACUUGUAACGAUAUCGUUUGGUGUUCGCUCCCCGGGUACCCAUUUGGGAAUUACCCGAAUAAAAUAUUAAUAUAUUUGGUUGGUAUACUGUGGUUGUUUAGGUGCACGCGCGAGUAGUGGCGUUGAUCCGGCGGAGGAUCUUAGCUGAUUUACGCGCUUAAGGUGAGUGACCCACCUUCAGAAAAAUAUUUUGGGAAUUUAAUUAUGUUUAAUUGGUAUUUAAAUCAUGCUCAUGUGGUACAAUUUAAUUAUGGAUUUAUUGUGGUUUAAUUUAUUUAUUAUGUAUGAGCAAAGUGUAUUUCGGUAAAAAUCGUACGAGGUUUUAAGUACUAUUUUAGGGCAUAAUUUGGUUAAUUAUUUUAUGAAAAUAUUUGUUUAAAUUGUAUAAAUUAUGCCCGCGGUAUUUUAAUUGUCGAAACUCGUGUUACGAGAAAAAUUAUGGUUUAUUGGUUAUCGAUGUUUCCGUACCGUUUGUUAAAUAAAAAUAUGUGGGAUGGUUGUUUGUGAAAAUUUGGUAUAUUUCCCACGGUAAAUUUUGGAAAACGGUACAGUUGGUUUAAUAAUUGUUUUAGACGCAUUGAUACAGUAUUGGUGUUCUGGUAUAUAUAUAUGUGGUUCAGCGCGCAAGUAUUAUUAUUUCACCCGUGAGUUGCCACUGGACCGUGGGUAGGCAAGUUUGUUAUUGGCCACAGCCGCCCCCCUCCUUGGCCGGGAUGAUGGUUUCAGCAGCGGUACUGUCGGGAAGCCGAAGUGCCGUUUGCAAGUUUCUCUCUUUAAUCUCCCCGCCAGUCGGUGCUCAGGACGUUGGGUAUCGGAGGGCAUCACCGGUAUAUGGUGUGGUGCAUCAAGUGUAAUUGUCAAGUGUAGUUUUCAAAUAAAGUUUAAAACCCCAAAGGUGUUCAAAAAUUAUUUAUUAUAAAUUAUUACAUUUUAAUUAUAUAUUGGGGUAUGUAUUUAUUUAUUUAUUGUUUAUCAAAUGGUUUAAUCCCUUGGUUUUCGGGAAGUAUGUACAUCGGGUUUUGUGAAAUUGUUUUAAAAAGGGAACAUUUCAAACGGAGUGAUUGGUGAGAGUUUUGAGGGAAAUUAUUGUUUCCAACAGUUAUUAUUUAUUAUUAUUUAUUUAUUAAUUGUUGGUAUUUAUUCAAUUCCCUUAAUUGUUAUUAUUAUUAUUAUUAUUAUCAUUAAAAGUGUUCAGUAGUUAGGGUCACUCAUUGAGAUGAUUAGCAUCUCACGUUUUUAAGUUCCGUUCCCUUAGGUGCAAGUGGUGGUAGACGUUCUUCUGGAGCGAACCAAAUUUUCCGCUGCUAUCGUGUUUCGAGAAGUACCUUUGUACUCUUUCAUUUCAGUGUAUUAUUUAUUUCAUCCUUGUUGUAUUUCUGUUGAUUAGCACUUCUUAAAGCUCUGUAUACUAUUGGGACACUUAUGUUUUAUUUAUGCACUGGACUGUUGUUAUUGUUGAGAAGUGCUGAAAUUUGUGGAAUUAAUUUGUAGUAUUGUGGGAGGAAUAAGGGGAUGUUUUUAGAAGUGUGUUUUCAGUGCAGGUAAUUUUUGGUUAGUCCUACCCUUAGGGGAGGUGCUGCCGGAUUUUCCGUUGGAAGGUUCGGUGGUAUUUCCCUGGGAUCAGGGCUUGUCUAGGGUUCCGGGGACGGAAUUCUGGACGGGUCCUGACAGUUGGUAUCAGAGCAUAGGUUCUUGUUGAGAAGUACUGUACAAGCGCCCGGAUCGAGGCGGCGAAGAUCGGCGGCGAUUUUUCCCUCCAUUGCCGGCCACCGCCGAUUGACCCAUUUCCGGCCAUUUUCCAGCCACACGCGCCAGCUAGCCAACACCAGCUCCUCCAGUCCGGCCGACCCACCAAAUUUCACGGCCACCGGACCAUCGACGCGCCGGGAUCGGAGCUUUUUCCGACGAGGGGCCGGAAUCCUUCAAACCGUGAUUUCUCCGCCGUCCGGCCUCCGUUUGCCUCACCGCCGGUCCCGUUGGAUUGCUCUCCCCUCGAUCCACAAAUCUGCCAAAACUCUCAGCCAACAGCCACCGCACGCGCUGCCGCCGGCAAUGAUUGUCGGUUACCGCGACGGUUCGCUGGAAGUUACUGUUCCUGCGAGUACCCAGUCUCCCGGCCGGCUCCUGUCCACUGUGUUCGAUCUCCUGAACCCGAAUCCGGCAUCUGUUACCACCAAUUCAUGACAGUUUGGGAGAAUUACAAAGUCGAAACCCGAAAGCUUUCCGGCGAGAUUCCGACCCCGUCGGGUCCGAUCAUCGGAAAGUAAGACCGAAUCAGUGAUACUCAUCACUCGAGCUUUGAUUCGGUGCACGCGCGAGUAGUGGCGUUGAUCCGGCGGAGGAUCUUAGCUGAUUUAAGCGCUUAAGGUGAGUGACCCACCUUCAGAAAAAUAUUUUGGGAAUUUAAUUAUGUUUAAUUGGUAUUUAAAUCAUGCUCAUGUGGUACAAUUUAAUUAUGGUUUUAUUGUGGUUUAAUUUAUUUAUUAUGUAUGAGCAAAGUGUAUUUCGGUAAAAAUCGUACGAGGUUUUAAGUAUUAUUUUCGGGCAUAAUUGGGUUAAUUAUUUUAUGAAAAUAUUUGUUUAAAUUGUAUAAAUAAUGCCCGCGGUAUUUUAAUUAUCGAACCUCGUGUUACGAGAAAAAUUAUGGUUUAUUGGUUAUCGAUGUUUCCGUACCGUUUGUUAAAUAAAAAUAUGUGGGAUGGUUGUUUGUGAAAAUUUGGUAUAUUUCCCACGGUAAAUUUUGGAAAACGGUACAGUUGGUUUAAUAAUUGUUUUAGACGCAUUGAUACAGUAUUGGUGUUCUGGUAUAUAUAUAUGUGGUUCAGCGCGCAAGUAUUAUUAUUUCACCCGUGAGUUGCCAUUGGACCGUGGGUAGGCAAGUUUGUUAUUGGCCACAGCCGCCCCCCUCCUUGGCCGGGAUGAUGGUUUCAGCAGCGGUACUGUCGGGAAGCCGAAGUGCCGUUUGCAAGUUUCUCUCUUUAAUCUCCCCGCCAGUCGGUGCUCAGGACGUUGGGUAUCGGAGGGCAUCACCGGUAUAUGGUGUGGUGCAUCAAGUGUAAUUGUCAAGUGUAGUUUUCAAAUAAAGUUUAAAACCCCAAAGGUGUUCAAAAAUUAUUUAUUAUAAAUUAUUACAUUUUAAUUAUAUAUUGGGGUAUGUAUUUAUUUAUUUAUUGUUUAUCAAAUGGUUUAAUCCCUUGGUUUUCGGGAAGUAUGUACAUCGGGUUUUGUGAAAUUGUUUUAAAAAGGGAACAUUUCAAACGGAGUGAUUGGUGAGAGUUUUGAGGGAAAUUAUUGUUUCCAACAGUUAUUAUUUAUUAUUAUUUAUUUAUUAAUUGUUGGUAUUUAUUCAAUUCCCUUAAUUGUUAUUAUUAUUAUUAUUAUUAUCAUUAAAAGUGUUCAGUAGUUAGGGUCACUCAUUGAGAUGAUUAGCAUCUCACGUUUUUAAGUUCCAUUCCCUUAGGUGCAAGUGGUGGUAGACGUUCUUCCGGAGCGAACCAAAUUUUCCGCUGCUAUCAUGUUUCAAGAAGUACCUUUGUACUCUUUCAUUUAAGUGUAUUAUUUAUUUCAUCCUUGUUGUAUUUCUGUUGAUUAGCACUUCUUAAAGCUUUGUAUACUAUUGGGACACUUAUGUUUUAUUUAUGCACUGGACUGUUGUUAUUGUUGAGAAGUGCUGAAAUUUGUGGAAUUAAUUUGUAAUAUUGUGGGAGGAAUAAUGGGAUGUUUUUAGAAGUGUGUUUUCAGUGCAGGUAAUUUUUGGUUAGUCCUACCCUUAGGGGAGGUGCUGCCGGAUUUUCCGUUGAAAGGUUCGGUGGUAUUUCCCUGCGAUCAGGACUUGUCUAGGGUUCCGGGGAAGGAAUUCUGGACGGAUCCUGACAGUCUUCUUCAUAUUUGUCUGAUUCUGAAGAUGACAAUUGAUCUUCUGAGGAUUCCUUUUUCAUUGGCUCUUAUCUUGUAAUCGUAAAUGCUUUUGGUUGAUCUGAAAAGCUAAAAGGAGGUGGUUCAAAAGUGCCUCUAUAAGCAGGGGUUGAUUUGGAGAUUUGGAGGUUUUUAAAAGGAGGAUUUUGUUAAAGACCUCAUGAGUCAUCUUGAACAUAGUGGAGAAAUCAGUGGUAGGAGUUAGGUGAAUGGAGCCAUAGGUGUAGGUAGAAAGGGAUGGUUUGAGGUUGAUUGAGAUCAUCAUCUAUCUAUUUAAUUUGGAUUUUAGAUUUUUUUUCUUUUUGGGUGUAAAUCCAGGACCAUACAUUCUAUGUGCCAACAAUUGUCUUAGUUGGCGGCCUAAGGUAGCUAUUGACGUCACCAGUUUAUCUUUUAAUUGUUCGACUUUUAUAGAUAAGUUCUCGUUUGUUAAGGUUGUUUGGGUUGUCACUUUGUCUAGCUUCAUAUCAGUUCUUCUAAGAAUUGUGUUUCUGAGCUUUAGCAUUCAUAGUUUGCCAGUUAAGGACUUCCUCAGCCUAAGUGAUGGGAGUAGAUGUUUCUUCAGCUGUUACUUUCUUAGACUGAAUAAAUGGUCUCGCCUAAGUUUUGUAUGUCAAAUGAAUUUGUCUUUCAGGUGUGGGAGCUCCUCUUCAUAUGCAGGAAAGAGUAGAACAUCAUAUAGACUAUGGCAUGUUUUUUUUUCUUUUCUUCUUCUCAAUUAAUCUUCAGACCUUUUUAUAAGCAGGUAAGGGUUGUUGAAAAUUCAAUUUUAGAAGAGUUUGUCGCUUUUGAGGGAUUCUAUUUUAAAGCUGGGAUUAUUAAGCCAAUCUAUAUGUACUUUUUUAUUAUUAUUAUGAAAUGCAUGUAUUAUUCUUCUUUUAUCAAAAUACAUGUAUGAGGUAUAUAUUUAUCUAUA